UACGGGGGGGGCAAGCGUUGUUCGGAAUUACUGGGCGUAAGGGGCUCGUAGGCGGCCAACUAAGUCAAGCGUGAAAUCCCUCGGCUUAACCGGGGAACUGCGCUUGAUACUGGAUGGCUUGAGAUUGGGAGAGGGAUGCGGAAUUCCAGGUGUAGCGGUGAAAUGCGUAGAUAUCUGGAGGAACACCGGUGGCGAAGGCGGCAUCCUGGACCAACACUGACGCUGAGUGAGCGAAAGCCAGGGGAGCAAACGGG
Molecule: ribosomal RNA, 254 nt
Filed under: uncultured bacterium
Lineage: Bacteria
Description: partial 16S ribosomal RNA
Rfam family: Bacterial small subunit ribosomal RNA
Source: RNAcentral